CUCGACGUAGCUUCUUCACGCGGCAACCACUGCAAAGGUUAACUAACGAUCGAUGUGCUGCUGCGACCCAGAUUCGCUGCCCCUGCCGAUCGAUCGAUCGAUCUCUUCUGAAAACGAGCCCCCAUCUUUGAUUUGAUUUAUUUCAGCCAGGCUUUUGCUGCUUGUAUGUUUAUCCCUUUGCUGGCCGGCUGGCGAAUCUUGCUCCGGCGAUCACACGGAGCCAUUCAGAAUUGCUCGCCGGCGGCGAAUGAGCCGUUCUAACAGGCGUAGCUGCGUCAAACUGAAUUGCUUUUGCUUGGACGGAUCAGAGUCAGAGGUGCAGCGGCAGGGAAUUGCCAAUUGGGGAGGCUGCCACGCAAGGAACAUCCUUGGACGUCUCAGCCAGGCGUGCCGGAGACAAAAGAGACGGAGGAGACUUGGGUUGCGGCGCCACAUCGACGUCGAUGGGCCCCCCGGUUGAGAAGGACGAAACGGUCUGGGCACAAAACCGUUGGGAGCACGGAACGGUGCCGUGUGACUGUCAGUGGUAGUUUUGGGUCUUGAUAUCUGAAUCUGAAUGGAUGGAGCGAGAUUGUUAUCCCCCGCUUCCCCCUGUUCUUCAUCGAUGGCGUGCGCGGGGAACCAAACCAGCCUGCAUCGUCUCAGCGUCAGUAAACUUUCCUCUAAAAAUAAGAUUGUGCAGCACAUCACCGUGUGGUUGCUGCAAGCCACUUUAGUUCAAUUUGCUACCAUUCGGAUCUUACCUCACUCGCCUCAAAAAGUUUGCUAAAUAUACCAACAAAAACAUGGUCUCUCCACUCUCCGUCCACCAUCGACCAUGCCUACAAGCCAGAGAGCUCACCGCUCCUCCGUUUUACGGCCCAGCUUGUCCAGUGUGGUCACCAGCUGAGAAGAGCCUGCCCGUGCAUGACCACGGUGACCCAUUGAUCUGCUUGAAACCACUUUCUCACUGAAUCCUACUUCAGCUGGUUCUGCUUUCACUGAAUCCCAACAGUUCAGAGUUUCAGCUCACGAGCGACGGAGCGACGACUAGCUUGUUGCAGCUGACGAAUUUGUGGCGCCUGCCGCCUUCAAUGACAUACCAGAGGAUCUUCUGAGAGAUGAUGAGCUGAUCAACUCCCGAUGUGGUGAAGUUGACUCCACUAUCCAAUCAACAAGUUUCAGUGUAGCCAUUUUCCCCAUUCCUUCCAGACCAGGGUGGAGAUCAACAUUUUGCAGCAUGUGCAUGAACAAAAGGUGAAGUUGACUCCCUCGGUCGCCUUCUUCAUCCUCAUCCCACCAAGAACUCAGCUGUGCUGUCAGUAGAUUUUCUUUUGCCGACGGCUCUGGAUGCCAUAAGGAUGCAGGGGGCUCGAGCUAGAAACGGCGCGCGUGCAGCGAUUCGCCGAUUCGUCGAUCCUACCCAGCGCCGGCACGCCCUCUUCUGUAUACAGGAUUAUCGUCUCCGUGGAGCAGACGGCCGGCGUCUCCGUUCCAUUCGCACCGUCGCCCUCUCCGAUCACCAUGACGCCUGGACCUCGCGGCACGGUUGAAAGCUUCUGAUUUGGUUUCUGGGUUGAGGGGCAUGGAUGCGGUGUGCACGCUGAGGCGGCUCGGGUUUGGAAGAAGCCAUUCCUCCAUGGACAUUCCGAGGGCGCGGCGAGAAGGGCUCGGUCGGCGGUCCGGAGCCGCCAUGGCCGUCGCGGACAGAGCUUGCUCGUCUCCGGUCAGUCGAAAUUUUUUACAAAAUACCCUUUCGUCCAAUAUUUUACAUAAAAUCCCCUAAAUAAUUUACACAAAACCCCGUAAAUCGACGUUUUAGAUAAAAUAUUUUAGAUAAAACCCCCGUAUUGGAUCGUGAUUAUUAAUCGCGAUCCGAUUAUUUACGCAAAACCUCCGGAUCAGAUCGCGAUUAUUAAUCGCGAUCCGAUUGUUUACAUAAAAGUCCCUUAACGGGAAUAAUAGUUUGCGAAAUAGUCCCUCUCCGCACUCUGCCCCAUGGGCCAUGGCUGAUGCUCCCUUCCCGUCCGGCGACGGCGACGGCAGCCUCCUCUCGGCGAAAUAGACUCCAGCUAGUCCUCCAGCUCCCCCUUCCCUUACCAUGCGGGUUUCCGCCUUCGCACCCCGCUCCUACACGUCUAGCACCAUGGAUUUCAAAGUGGCCAGCUACCCACUACCGCCGCCGAGAAAAAGGUACAUGGUCGACGAGGAGGAGGAAAGCGUUGGAGCGGUCACAAGCAGGGGAUAGACUAGAUCGGACUGCGGCUUCGCGGCCAGAUCAAUCUAGAGUCUAUGCCCUCUCUCCCCUCCGGUGGCUUCCCCUCGCUUGCUCGUGCGACCGGCGCGGUAGGCGGAGGCGUUCCUCUUCUGCGGCGGCGACGGCAGAGGUGAUACGAUGUUAUUGCAGUGGCAGCUUGCUUAUGAGUUUGACCUAUUACUUUACAGAUGUUACUUCCAUUUCUCCAUCUCAAUGCUCAACCAUGAUUUAUCUGCUUCACUCACUUUCUACUUGAGCCAAUAGAUCUGCUGUUCACCACCACACAGUGACACAGAUGUAAUUGUUGAAUUCGAUAUCUUUGAAUCUGCUAAGAUUCUUUUCAUUCGUUGACACUAAAAUAGUACAGACUGAUCAUGCGAUUCAUGAACUGGGACCAAAUGACCAGCUACUCACACUUCUUACUUGAUAAAUAAAAAAUGAAUCCUAAGCUGUGCACAUGGUCUGGAAAGUUUUCUAAAGAGAUGAUACAAUUGGCUCAUUAAGUUCCUUUUUCUGAUUUGACCAAAAAUAUAAUUGGGUCCAAAAAAACUCUUGCAGAAGAUGACUCAAAUACCAAAUCAACAAAUUUUGGUAGUCAAUUUCUCGAUAACUUUUAGAUCGUGUUACAGAUCAACCUUUCACAGUAUCCACAUUGAUAGCAGUAGAAUGAUUUACAACUAAGCAUAAUUUAUUUCAUAGAAAUUUGAACUUAACUGAACUUAACAUCAGAAAACCAAUGCCUUGCUUGGUGCUCCUCAUCUCUUGUUCACCUCAGCACAUCUCAGAAGAUGGCCCUCCCUGCCUUGAGUGAUGGUGUCGCCCCAUCUUAGCAGCAAGGGUAGACGGCGAUGCAGCGCCUGCGUCGGGGAGGUGUGCACAUCAUCAGCAGCAGCAAGGCGAGGACGAUGGUAACAAGCAGCCCCAGCAGGUUGAACGCCGGCUCAUCAUCUUCUUGGCUGCAACACAGCUUGCCCAUGUUAGCUGUUAGAGGGGGAGGAGGAGAUGACUCUUGGUAGAAUGAGGAUGAAGGAGGGGUGGGACUUGGCUAAAGGCUUCUUUCUUGGCUUGUGGAAUUUCUUUAUGGCAAUGACUGGGGAUACAGGACAGUUAGAUCUAUCUAUAGCAAUUAAACUGUGGGCCGUCAACAUCAACUUGAAUUCUGGCUGUCUUACCUCAUCGGGCUCGGCUGGCCUCCAGCUUCUACGUUCUCUGCUGCCUGCUCCAGGAGUAGGACUGCUGCCCGCCGUUCCUCGGCCACCCCGGCCCCGGCGGCCAGCGGCCGCCGCCUUUCUGAUGCCGUCCUGGCCAGGUCCUCCAUGUGAAAUAACGUAGCUUACUGGUGCUGUACCCUGCUCAUCCUCUGCAGUGCAUAGCCCUAUCUGGAUGAAUAGAUUUCUGUUUCCAGUU
This is an RNA transcript of Panicum hallii, 3643 nucleotides long. RefSeq lists it as uncharacterized. The record is from RefSeq and is a predicted model, not a curated record. NCBI's taxonomy places the organism in Eukaryota, Viridiplantae, Streptophyta, Magnoliopsida, Poales, Poaceae. The transcript has 5 exons.